GACGUAGGGCGCGAGCGUUGUCCGGAUUUAUUGGGCGUAAAGAGCUCGUAGGCGGCUUGUCGCGUCGACCGUGAAAACUUGGGGCUCAACCCCAAGCCUGCGGUCGAUACGGGCAGACUGGAGGUAUGCAGGGGAGAACGGAAUUCCUGGUGUAGCGGUGAAAUGCGCAGAUAUCAGGAGGAACACCGGUGGCGAAGGCGGGUCUCUGGGCCAUUACUGACGCUGAGGAGCGAAAGCGUGGGGAGCGAACAGG
Molecule: ribosomal RNA, 253 nt
Filed under: uncultured bacterium
Lineage: Bacteria
Description: partial 16S ribosomal RNA
Rfam family: Bacterial small subunit ribosomal RNA
Source: RNAcentral